This 475-nucleotide ribosomal RNA is filed under the name uncultured bacterium. Its description in RNAcentral is "bacterial SSU rRNA". It matches the Rfam family "Bacterial small subunit ribosomal RNA", at positions 21 to 507 of the family's 1533-position model. The record is from RNAcentral.
GGCUCAGGAUGAACGCUGGCGGCGUGCCUAACACAUGCAAGUCGAACGGACUUACAUUGAAGCCUAGCGAUAUGUAAGUUAGUGGCGGACGGGUGAGUAACGCGUGGGUAACCUGCCUUGUACUGGGGGACAACAGUUGGAAACGACUGCUAAUACCGCAUAAGCGCACAGCUUCGCAUGAAGCAGUGUGAAAAACUCCGGUGGUACAAGAUGGACCCGCGUCUGAUUAGCUGGUUGGUGAGGUAACGGCCCACCAAGGCGACGAUCAGUAGCCGACCUGAGAGGGUGACCGGCCACAUUGGGACUGAGACACGGCCCAGACUCCUACGGGAGGCAGCAGUGGGGAAUAUUGCACAAUGGAGGAAACUCUGAUGCAGCGACGCCGCGUGAGUGAAGAAGUAUUUCGGUAUGUAAAGCUCUAUCAGCAGGGAAGAUAAUGACGGUACCUGACUAAGAAGCACCGGCUAAAUACGUG